This 387-nucleotide ribosomal RNA is filed under the name uncultured bacterium. RNAcentral describes it as "bacterial SSU rRNA". It matches the Rfam family "Bacterial small subunit ribosomal RNA", at positions 29 to 418 of the family's 1533-position model. The record is from RNAcentral.
UUGAACGCUGGCGGCAUGCCUUACACAUGCAAGUCGAACGGCAGCACGGGAGCAAUCCUGGUGGCGAGUGGCGAACGGGUGAGUAAUACAUCGGAACGUGCCCAGUAGUGGGGGAUAACCCGGCGAAAGCCGGACUAAUACCGCAUACGACCUACGGGUGAAAGCAGGGGAUCGCAAGACCUUGCGCUAUCGGAGCGGCCGAUGUCAGAUUAGCUUGUUGGCGGGGUAAAAGCCCACCAAGGCGACGAUCUGUAGCUGGUCUGAGAGGACGACCAGCCACACUGGGACUGAGACACGGCCCAGACUCCUACGGGAGGCAGCAGUGGGGAAUUUUGGACAAUGGGCGCAAGCCUGAUCCAGCCAUGCCGCGUGCGGGAAGAAGGCCUC